AGAGGAGAACUCGGAAACUGCGAAUAAUUGAAUCUAUAACCUCCGGCCGUAGGAACAUCGACGUAGCCACUAUGCCACUACGGCGGCUAGUUAAAUGCCCGAGCGUUCGCUAUUUAAGUAAAGCAGGGGGUUUCCGAAGUUUCAAAGGCGAUUUUCUCGAAAGCGCUAGAGUGGUGGCCCCCAAUAUAGGGGUGGUUCUUCAUCUGCUCUUUGUGCUCUUUCGGAUGGCAGAGUGUCGCCAAAAUCCCAGACGCAUCGGGUGCGAUGUUCCCUUGUUAGAUGAAUCCUUAAAACGAAAAUGUAUAUACAAAUAUUUCCCCAAC
RNAcentral lists this long non-coding RNA (323 nucleotides) under Androctonus crassicauda. The record is from RNAcentral. Lineage: Eukaryota; Metazoa; Arthropoda; Arachnida; Scorpiones; Buthidae.